CAGCAGCCACGGUAAUACGAAGGGUGCAAGCGUUACUCGGAAUUACUGGGCGUAAAGCGUGUGUAGGUGGUUGUUUAAGUCUGUCGUGAAAGCCCUGGGCUCAACCUGGGAAUUGCGAUGGAUACUGGGCGACUAGAGUGCGGUAGAGGAUAGUGGAAUUUCCGGUGUAGCAGUGAAAUGCGUAGAGAUCGGAAGGAACAUCUGUGGCGAAGGCGACUAUCUGGGCCAACACUGACACUGAGACACGAAAGCGUGGGGAGCAAACGGGAUUAGAUACCCGUGUAGUCCCUGUCUCUUAUAC
RNAcentral lists this ribosomal RNA (301 nucleotides) under uncultured bacterium. Its description in RNAcentral is "partial 16S ribosomal RNA". It matches the Rfam family "Bacterial small subunit ribosomal RNA", at positions 509 to 807 of the family's 1533-position model. The record is from RNAcentral.